RNAcentral lists this ribosomal RNA (490 nucleotides) under uncultured bacterium. RNAcentral's name for it is "partial 16S ribosomal RNA". It matches the Rfam family "Bacterial small subunit ribosomal RNA", at positions 30 to 507 of the family's 1533-position model. The record is from RNAcentral.
AUUGAACGCUGGCGGCAGGCCUAACACAUGCAAGUCGAACGGUAACAGGAAACAUCUUGCUGUUUCGCUGACGAGUGGCGGCCGGGUGAGUAAUGUCUGGGAAACUGCCUGAUGGAGGGGGAUAACUACUGGAAACGGUAGCUACUACCGCAUAACGUCGCAAGACCAAAGAGGGGGACCCUCGGGCCUCUUGCCGUCGGAUGUGCCCAGAUGGGAUGAGCUUGUUGGUGGGGUAACGGCUCCCCAAGGCGACGAUCCCUAGCUGGUCUGAGAGGAUGACCAGCCACACUGGAACUGAGACACGGUCCAGACUCCUACGGGAGGCAGCAGUGGGGAAUAUUGCACAAUGGGCGCAAGCCUGAUGCAGCCAUGCCGCGUGUAUGAAGAAGGCCUUCGGGGUGUAAAGUACUUUCAGCGGGGAGGAAGGGAGUAAAGUUAAUACCUUUGCUCAUUGACGUUACCCGCAGAAGAAGCACCGGCUAACUCCGUG